UACGGAGGAUGCAAGCGUUAUCCGGAAUGAUUGGGCGUAAAGCGUCCGCAGGUGGCUAUGUAAGUCUGCUGUUAAAGAGUGAGGCUCAACCUCAUAAGAGCAGUGGAAACUACAUAGCUAGAGUGCGUUCGGGGCAGAGGGAAUUCCUGGUGUAGCGGUGAAAUGCGCAGAUAUCAGGAAGAACACCCGUGGCGAAGGCGGCUCUCUGGGACGGUACUGACGCUGAGACGCGAAAGCGUGGGGAGCGAACAGG
This 253-nucleotide ribosomal RNA is filed under the name uncultured bacterium. RNAcentral describes it as "partial 16S ribosomal RNA". It matches the Rfam family "Bacterial small subunit ribosomal RNA", at positions 524 to 776 of the family's 1533-position model. The record is from RNAcentral.